CCGCCGGUAGCUCAAAUGAAUAGAGCAGUACUUUCGCAGGUAACGGUUUCGGGUUCGAUUCCCGACCGGCGGA
This 73-nucleotide transfer RNA is filed under the name Gammaproteobacteria bacterium AqS3. It matches the Rfam family "tRNA". From Rfam's summary of the family: Transfer RNA (tRNA) molecules are approximately 80 nucleotides in length. Their secondary structure includes four short double-helical elements and three loops (D, anti-codon, and T loops). Lineage: Bacteria; Pseudomonadati; Pseudomonadota; Gammaproteobacteria. The record is from Rfam by way of RNAcentral.